AUUGAACGCUGGCGGCAGGCCUAACACAUGCAAGUCGAGCGGAUGAAGGGAGCUUGCUCCUGGAUUCAGCGGCGGACGGGUGAGUAAUGCCUAGGAAUCUGCCUGGUAGUGGGGGAUAACGUCCGGAAACGGGCGCUAAUAUCGCAUACGUCCUGAGGGAGAAAGUGGGGGAUCUUCGGACCUCACGCUAUCAGAUGAGCCUAGGUCGGAUUAGCUAGUUGGUGGGGUAAAGGCCUACCAAGGCGACGAUCCGUAACUGGUCUGAGAGGAUGAUCAGUCACGCUGGAACUGAGACACGGUCCAGACUCCUACGGGAGGCAGCAGUGGGGAAUAUUGGACAAUGGGCGAAAGCCUGAUCCAGCCAUGCCGCGUGUGUGAAGAAGGUCUUCGGAUUGUAAAGCACUUUAAGUUGGGAGGAAGGGCAGUAAGUUAAUACCUUGCUGUUUUGACGUUACCAACAGAAUAAGCACCGGCUAACUUCGUG
This 484-nucleotide ribosomal RNA is filed under the name uncultured bacterium. RNAcentral describes it as "partial 16S ribosomal RNA". It matches the Rfam family "Bacterial small subunit ribosomal RNA", at positions 30 to 507 of the family's 1533-position model. The record is from RNAcentral.